RNAcentral lists this ribosomal RNA (468 nucleotides) under uncultured bacterium. Its description in RNAcentral is "partial 16S ribosomal RNA". It matches the Rfam family "Bacterial small subunit ribosomal RNA", at positions 28 to 507 of the family's 1533-position model. The record is from RNAcentral.
GACGAACGCUGGCGGCGUGCUUAACACAUGCAAGUCGAACGGAAAGGCCCUGCUUUUGUGGGGUGCUCGAGUGGCGAACGGGUGAGUAACACGUGAGUAACCUGCCCUUGACUUUGGGAUAACUUCAGGAAACUGGGGCUAAUACCGGAUAGGAGCUCCUGCUGCAUGGUGGGGGUUGGAAAGUUUCGGCGGUUGGGGAUGGACUCGCGGCUUAUCAGCUUUUUGGUGGGGUAGUGGCUUACCAAGGCUUUGACGGGUAGCCGUCCUGAGAGGGUGCCCGGCCACAUUGGGACUGAGAUACGGCCCAGAGUCCUACGGGAGGCAGCAGUGGGGAAUAUUGCACAAUGGGCGGAAGCCUGAUGCAGCAACGCCGCGUGCGGGAUGACGGCCUUCGGGUUGUAAACCGCUUUCGCCUGUGACGAAGCGUGAGUGACGGUAAUGGGUAAAGAAGCACCGGCUAACUACGUG